This 1023-nucleotide ribosomal RNA is filed under the name Alkalibacillus salilacus. RNAcentral's name for it is "bacterial SSU rRNA". It matches the Rfam family "Bacterial small subunit ribosomal RNA", at positions 56 to 1045 of the family's 1533-position model. The record is from RNAcentral. Lineage: Bacteria; Bacillati; Bacillota; Bacilli; Caryophanales; Bacillaceae.
UGCAAGUCGAGCGCGGGAAGCGAGCAGAAGCCCUUCGGGGUGGACGCUCGUGGAACGAGCGGCGGACGGGUGAGUAACACGUGGGCAACCUACCUGUGAGACGGGGAUAACUCCGGGAAACCGGGGCUAAUACCGGAUAACGCAUCGAACCGCAUGGUUCGAUGAUCAAAGAUGGCUUCUAGCUAUCACUCACAGAUGGGCCCGCGGCGCAUUAGUUAGUUGGUGAGGUAACGGCUCACCAAGGCGACGAUGCGUAGCCGACCUGAGAGGGUGAUCGGCCACACUGGGACUGAGACACGGCCCAGACUCCUACGGGAGGCAGCAGUAGGGAAUCAUCCGCAAUGGACGCAAGUCUGACGGUGCAACGCCGCGUGAGCGAUGAAGGUCUUCGGAUCGUAAAGCUCUGUUGUGAGGGAAGAACAAGUGCCGUUCGAAUAGGGCGGCACCUUGACGGUACCUCACCAGAAAGCCCCGGCUAACUACGUGCCAGCAGCCGCGGUAAUACGUAGGGGGCAAGCGUUGUCCGGAAUUAUUGGGCGUAAAGCGCGCGCAGGCGGUUCCUUAAGUCUGAUGUGAAAGGCCACAGCUCAACUGUGGAGGGCCAUUGGAAACUGGGGAACUUGAGGACAGAAGAGGAGAGCGGAAUUCCACGUGUAGCGGUGAAAUGCGUAGAUAUGUGGAGGAACACCAGUGGCGAAGGCGGCUCUCUGGUCUGUAACUGACGCUGAGGCGCGAAAGCAUGGGUAGCGAACAGGAUUAGAUACCCUGGUAGUCCAUGCCGUAAACGUUGAGUGCUAGGUGUUAGGGGGUCCAACCCUUAGUGCUGCAGUUAACGCAAUAAGCACUCCGCCUGGGGAGUACGGCCGCAAGGCUGAAACUCAAAGGAAUUGACGGGGGCCUGCACAAGCGGUGGAGCAUGUGGUUUAAUUCGACGCAACGCGAAGAACCUUACCAGGUCUUGACAUCUUCGGACAGCCCAAGAGAUUGGGUCUUCCCUUCGGGGACCGAAUGACAGGUGGUGCA